Molecule: transfer RNA, 61 nt
Filed under: Erotylinae sp. 2 ACP-2013
Lineage: Eukaryota; Metazoa; Arthropoda; Insecta; Coleoptera; Erotylidae
Description: tRNA-His
Source: RNAcentral
UUUAAAUAGUUUAUAAAAAUAUUAGUUUGUGGGACUAAAGAUGUAUUAGUACUUUAAAUUG